This is a long non-coding RNA of Amborella trichopoda, 770 nucleotides long. RefSeq lists it as uncharacterized. NCBI's taxonomy places the organism in Eukaryota, Viridiplantae, Streptophyta, Magnoliopsida, Amborellales, Amborellaceae. The record is from RefSeq and is a predicted model, not a curated record.
CUCUUUGUUUGUGUAAUAUGAAUUUGCCUUUGGCUAUUUAAGGCGUCCCUGCCAGUCUCGCUCCACAACUAAAGCUCUCUCUCUCUACACAUGCACAUUCAACAUCCCUUCUCUCUCUCAUCAACAUGCUCUUGUCCCCAAGUAGCCGGGAUAAAGCUCCGAUGAUGAUAAUGUUAUAUUUGCAGAUAACAUCAAGAAAAUAGAGCUCGAAUUAAGCUGUUCUUUAAUGGGAUGGAAUCAAAGGGAAGCCAUCAUAUUUUCCUUUGCCAUAGAUCAGCUUAAUUAUAUUUUGGAAGAUAUCACUGGGUGCGGUUAGCCCCAUCUUUAGGAUAAAAGUAAACCCCUACUUCAAAACCUUGGCUUUGAUUUUGAAAUUGAAGUUUAAAAAAUGGUGCACAUCUCUGAAUUCCUCAGAAUGGAUAGUCAAGAUUGACUUGAAAUCACUCCUUUUUUUCUGCAAAUCCAUAGUCAGCGAGACUGAGAUAAUGAAUUUAAUUAUUGUCCCUUAUGAGGACGACAUUUCCGACAAGGAGGAUUUAAUUUGAGAUUACACUCUAAUUUUCUAGUUGGUUUUAAACACGAAUGAUCAGUGCAAAUAUUGGAGAUGGAUGUUCCUUACCCCCCUUCUCUAGGCUUUUCAUAGAAUUGUCUCCGUUGUUCACAUUGAGCUUUAGCUAGUUAUUUGUGUAGGUUUAUUUUACUGAAAUUAAUGUAAUUGCAAAUAAUGCAGCUCCCAUUUUAAUCUAUCUCACUCUCUCUAUCUCUCGUUA